RNAcentral lists this ribosomal RNA (1194 nucleotides) under Salmonella enterica. RNAcentral describes it as "partial 23S ribosomal RNA". It matches the Rfam family "Bacterial large subunit ribosomal RNA", at positions 1167 to 2344 of the family's 2925-position model. The record is from RNAcentral. RNAcentral also lists the same sequence under 1 other name. Lineage: Bacteria; Pseudomonadati; Pseudomonadota; Gammaproteobacteria; Enterobacterales; Enterobacteriaceae.
AAGAUGUAACGGGGCUAAACCAUGCACCGAAGCUGCGGCAGCGACACUGUGUGUUGUUGGGUAGGGGAGCGUUCUGUAAGCCUGUGAAGGUGUGUCGUGAGGCAUGCUGGAGGUAUCAGAAGUGCGAAUGCUGACAUAAGUAACGAUAAAGCGGGUGAAAAGCCCGCUCGCCGGAAGACCAAGGGUUCCUGUCCAACGUUAAUCGGGGCAGGGUGAGUCGACCCCUAAGGCGAGGCCGAAAGGCGUAGUCGAUGGGAAACGGGUUAAUAUUCCCGUACUUGGUGUUACUGCGAAGGGGGGACGGAGAAGGCUAUGUUGGCCGGGCGACGGUUGUCCCGGUUUAAGCGUGUAGGUGUGUGUUCCAGGUAAAUCCGGUUCACUUUAACACUGAGGCGUGACGACGAGGCACUACGGUGCUGAAGCAACAAAUGCCCUGCUUCCAGGAAAAGCCUCUAAGCAUCAGGUAACAUCAAAUCGUACCCCAAACCGACACAGGUGGUCAGGUAGAGAAUACCAAGGCGCUUGAGAGAACUCGGGUGAAGGAACUAGGCAAAAUGGUGCCGUAACUUCGGGAGAAGGCACGCUGACACGUAGGUGAAGUGAUUUACUCAUGGAGCUGAAGUCAGUCGAAGAUACCAGCUGGCUGCAACUGUUUAUUAAAAACACAGCACUGUGCAAACACGAAAGUGGACGUAUACGGUGUGACGCCUGCCCGGUGCCGGAAGGUUAAUUGAUGGGGUCAGCGCAAGCGAAGCUCCUGAUCGAAGCCCCGGUAAACGGCGGCCGUAACUAUAACGGUCCUAAGGUAGCGAAAUUCCUUGUCGGGUAAGUUCCGACCUGCACGAAUGGCGUAAUGAUGGCCAGGCUGUCUCCACCCGAGACUCAGUGAAAUUGAACUCGCUGUGAAGAUGCAGUGUACCCGCGGCAAGACGGAAAGACCCCGUGAACCUUUACUAUAGCUUGACACUGAACAUUGAGCCUUGAUGUGUAGGAUAGGUGGGAGGCUUUGAAGUGUGGACGCCAGUCUGCAUGGAGCCGACCUUGAAAUACCACCCUUUAAUGUUUGAUGUUCUAACGUGGACCCGUUACCCGGGUUGCGGACAGUGUCUGGUGGGUAGUUUGACUGGGGCGGUCUCCUCCUAAAGAGUAACGGAGGAGCACGAAGGUUGGCUAAUCCUGGUCGGACAUCAGGAG